Long non-coding RNA from Astatotilapia calliptera (eastern happy), 21788 nucleotides. The record is from Ensembl. Lineage: Eukaryota; Metazoa; Chordata; Actinopteri; Cichliformes; Cichlidae.
UCUAAUUGCUGCUGCUAGUGGUUCAAUAAAAAUUGCAAACAGUGAAGGGGAGAGUGGGCAUCCCUGCCUGGUGCCCCUCAAGAGACAGAAGCUGGAGGAUGUCUGGUCAUUUGUUCUAACACAAGCUGUUGGGGAAUUAUAUAAUAUUUUUAACCAGUUUAUGAAAGAGGAUCCAAAACCAAAUUUGUGUAAAGUUGCAAAUAGAAAUUUCCAGUUAACUGUCGAAUGCUUUUUCUGCGUCUAAAGAGAAUAUUGUAGUUUCUAGGUUUUUACUGUAUGAGUAGUCUAUCAAAUUAAGUAAUCUACGUGUAUUUGUUGAUGAGUGCCUACCUUUUAUGAAACCAGUUUGGUCAGGAUGAAUUAAGAGGGGGGUUAUUUUCUCCAGUCUCUUUGAGAGAGCUUUGCAGAUUAUUUUAAGGUCUACGUUUAUAAGGGAUAUUGGACGAUAGCUUGAGGGAUAUACAGGGUCUUUGCCUGGUUUUAGCAGGAGAUUAAUGUUUGCAGAAUUCAUAUUUGAUGGAAGUCUGCCCUUUUCUUUAAUUUCCAACAACGUUCUGUAGAAAACUGGUGCUAGAAUCGACCAGAAUUCUUUGUAGAAUUCUGCAGGAAAGCCGUCUGGACCUGGAGCCUUAUUAUUGGGCAUACUUAUCAGGGCUUCUUGGAGUUCACCUGGUGUCAGUGGUGAAUCCAGUGCCAUUGCUUGAGUGUCCAAUAAUUUUGGAAGAGUUAUGUUGUCCAAAAACUGAUCAAUUUCUUUUUUAGAUGGGUUUAUUUGUGGUGAAUACAACGUUUUAUAGAAAUCCCUGAAAAUGUUGUUUAUUUGUAUCGGAUCAUAUAUUGUGUUCCCAGAUGAAUCUUGAACAGCACAUAUAGUUGUUUUUUCUUUAUUUAUUUUUAGCUGGUUUGCUAGAAAUUGACCGGAUUUAUUACCAUGUUCAUAAUUUUGUAGGCGUAGUCUUUGUACUAAGAAUUUUGUUUUUUUAUCAAUUAUCUCAUUUAAUUCUAGUUUUGUUUUGCGUAUUUUGUUCAAUGUUUCCUGAUCUUGGUGGGACGCGUAGGCUUCUUCUAGUGAUUUGAUGUUUUUUUCUAAUUCCUGAAUAUUUAACGAGGUUAGUCAUUAAUGUAUUGCUGCAUGGGCUGGGCUGUAAUUGCAUCGUAAGGUUUUAAAAACUGAGCUUUAAAAUGAAUAGUGAUAAUAAAAACUGAGAGAGGUCGACAGUGAUCACUGACUUUUUUUAGGGGCUUGUUCAGAUUAAAUAGAAAAAGAUACAAAGCAUUAAGACACAACAGCUUUAAUAAACACAGAGUAGUUUGGACCUGGAAGCAGGGUUCAUAUGUCAUCACUUAAAGACCGGAUAUCCCACCUGCUUUGAUGUCUUAAUGCAGUACAGUUGUUAUUAUAUCACUUGUCGCAUCCUGUUUAUGACAGUUAAAAUAAAUAACAUCCAUAUAAGAAAUAAAAUUGUCUUGUGUAAACUGUAUAUGGUGUUAAAUAGGCCUAUACUACUGUACUUUAAUGUCGGGCAUAAGGGUGGUACUUUAAGAACCAUAUAUUUUAUACGGUGGUACUCAUUGUGAAAAGUUUGAGAACCACUGACCUAAAGGAUUAAUUAUUAGAAUCUCGGCUUCAGAUAGGGUGUCAACCAUUAUAACCUUGUUGGAUAGAUCAACAAAUGAAGCUGGGUUCAUUUAAAGAUCUAACUAGGCCUGUUGUCUUAUUGGUCCUCUUUCCCAAGAUUGAAAGAACUUUCUAAAAUCUUUUGAAAAAAGAUUCUGAAUUCUAAUAAGGAUUUUCUAAAUAUUAUAUAGAAAAUCAUUUCACUAAAAACACAAUAAAAAUUGUAUUGAAGAAUCAGGCAAGUUACAGAAUCAAGUGUUGUUUAUUUUGUCUACACUUUCCAGGUCUAUACUACCGUAGCAAAGGGUGUCAUGGUCCUGAGUCUGCCGACUCAGUGUUUUAUGUUUCUUUAUGCUUUUGUUCAUUUAUACAUAUUCUGUUACGAAUUGCCAUUUGUUAGGUUUCUGUUCUGUGCUUUCCCUGGUUCCACUUCUGUGUUCUGUCUGUCUAUGGUGUCACACUGUCUGUGUGUGAAUCUGUCUGUUUAGUUCAGCGUCUUGUCCAGUUCUGUGUCUGUGAGUUUCCUGUUUUAUUCUGAAGGUCUCUAUCUCAUGUGAGUGUGUUCAGUUUACGUUUCCCCUGUCCCGUCAGCUUUGAUGUUCUCCUGCCUGUUGCCGGUUCGUCACUGCCUCUCCCCCAUUCUGGAACCCUCUCAGGUUUGUCAUUUAGCUUUCCCAGUGUAGGUCUUUAGUUUUGUCUUCCUUCUUUGCCUGUUUUGCCAUCUCACCACUGUGUAAAUAAAACAUCACUAGCAUUAUCAUCUACUGCCUGCGUUUUGGGUCCUUUCUCCCUUCUACACCACACGGCUCGCCUCGGCAGCCGUGACAAAGGGUUUAUAUAUGACAUAUAAAUAUAUAUAUAUAUAUAUGUAUGUGUACAUGAUAUACCCCAAUGAAGAUAAUUAGAUGGCAUGAGUUUUAUAUUUAAUUUGUCAAUUUACAAUUAACUGUGUAAUUAAUUUAAAUAAUGUUUCAAACAAUUGGGUUCUUAUAUAAUUCGAAAUUUACCAAAAGAAAAAUAUUGCAGUGAUGUGAAUGGUUUUGGAAAAAGAUUUAUUUAGGGAUCAAAUUUAUGUUAAACAUGCAUUUUUCUUUCAUUUAAAUAUGAAUAUAUAUGGAGUCACAGUUUUCAAAUAUUCUUGUUAGUUUUGAUUUUACUGUAUUCUUUGUGCUUCUGUAUUCUAACACAAGACAACAGAAUAAAUAUGUUGAAAGAAGAUUAAUUAGAAAUCAGCAUAAAAAUGUAAUUAGAAAUGUUAAGAUUAUCUGUUAAACUUUAAUAUUUUGCAUUUGUGAAAAAAAUAACAUGUUAAAGGAAUACUUUUACAUUACAUAACUAGUUGUUUAAAAAUUAGAUGAUUGACAUCAGACUGGUACUCUUACGUUGUUAGGUUAAUAUGAUUAACGGGAAAAACACAUUUUCCAAAUACACACAUAUUAAUAUAACUAAAAAGUAAAACAAAAGGUAAAUGGACUGAUUUUUAUGUAGCACUUUUCUUGCCUCUCAUUUUUUCUUUAUACAUCCUUGCUUGCAGUAGGCACAAUAACGGGAGCAACAGCGAUAACAGGAAAGUCUGAGCUGACUGAGGAGUCCAGGAGAUCUCUCUGGUGCUGCUUCAGAUUCUUCUACCUUUAUUUGCUCUUGAUAGAUAUUUGGAGAAUCUAGUUGAACUGUUUGAUUAGCUUUGUUGCUAGUUGUCAGUGUCUUAGACGCUUUGUUUUGUAUGUAGAAUUUCUCAAUCUCACUAAGCAUGCGGACCUUAAGUUGUUGGAGCUCGGUAUAUUUUUCAUCAAGUGAUUUGUGUUCUCCAUCCCUGCCACUUACAGAUAAAAACGUAUUACUUUGCCCAUGUUCCAACAUUUUUCUUGUUUUCUCAACUGAUGUCUUUUCUUUCUGAAAUAUUGAUCUCCUAACAAAAUGAUUGAUCACCUUUACUCUUUUAUCCAUAUUGUUUCUCAUUUCUUGACCUCUGAGCUUCAUCUGAUUUAUUUCAUUUCGUUCUAUUCUAGUGUCCUUCCAGAUUUGUUUCAAAAACUCAGUUUUUAAAAUUCCCUUCUGUGUGAAGUCAUCUUCCUCUGCUGACAAGAUGGACAACGUUGCAAGAUUUGUUUUCUUGACAUUUCCAAAUUCUUCACCUUCUCCUACUAACAGCAGACCUUCCUUGUCAGGUGUCAAGUAUCUUUUGCUUCCUUCAAGAUUAACUGCAACAUCCUUCAUCCUCUGCUUAAAUUCAUGUUCAUUGGUCUCUUCAUCCUGAUGCUCAUGUAAGCAUUGUUUUACAACAUCCUCAGUUUGGAUUGCUUUGUCAAAUGUUGUCUUAAACACAUGUUUCUUUUGUUGUUGUAUCUUGUCAUAAUCUGCAGUAAUUUUAAUUUUCUGCUUAUAAAUUCUGACCCAAUUUUGUUCAUAUGUGGAGAUCACUUGUAAUAUUUUUUCAUUUUCCCCCUCUACUCUCUUAAUAUAUGUCGGCAAGUCUUGAUGAAUCAGUCUAUUUAGUUUUCCUAUAAGGUUUCUUGUAGAGAUUGUAACACUACUGAGGAUGUCCUCUCUGGGUUGUACAUCAGACAGUUCACCUUUCAGGGAUUUCCUCGCAAUUAGUUUCACUUUCAGAAUCUCUAGUGAUUUCAUUUCAUCCAUGACUUGGUCUCCCCUCAUUUCCAUCCCAGACUGCUGUUCUUCCACAUUUCUCCUUUCCUUCAACAACAGUUCUUGUUCUUUGGCAAUGUCAGUCUUCAUCUCUUUCAUCUCUUCUUUUUCUUCACUCAUGAUUCCCUUUGCACGUUCAAGCUCUUCUUGCUUCUUCUUCAGAUUCCUCAUCAGACUCUCCACUUUUGCUCUUUCACUCUGUAAUUCCUUUUUCAUGAUUUCCACUUCUUUUGUUUGUCUUCUGAGGUCAUCUUCCUUGACUUUUUCUUCAUUAUGUGUUAAGAAAAUCUUGCUUAAAAUGUCUUCAAGUCUUUCUUUUUCCAUUUGAACCUGAAGGAUACAAUUUUUAAUCUUGGCUUUUUCUUCAUUUGUCUCAUGUAACAGCCUGUUUACAUGUUCCAUCUUAUUGAGCAGUUCAAGCUUUAUGAUUUCCAUUGAGUCUCGUUCUUCUUUUAUAUUUUGUUUCUUUUCUUCCAAUAUUUCAAAUUGUUUCUUGAUGUCAGACAUCAACACCUUCAAAUCCAUUUUCUCUCUAUUCAGCUCCUCACUUUCUCUCUCCAGAUCUUCUCUGUCGUGUCUCAGAUCUUCUUUCACUUCAUCAAGCUCUCGUUUGUCCAGUUCAAACUGCUGCUUCCAUUCAUUUUCUGUGCAUUCUCUCUUGGUGACCAUGUCUGAAAGGAUACUUCUCACACCUUCCUUUUCUCUCUCUAACAUUUCAGUGAAACAGCGAAUGCUUUCUUUCAGUUCAUCUUGGGUUGGAAGUUUUUCUUUCAACACUGUUUGCAGCCUUGACCUGUUGUCAACAUUUUGUAGUAAUCUCUCCAUUUUGGCUUUUAUAUCCUCCUUCAGUUGUUGAAGUUUCACUUUCAGAAUCUCUAGCAAUUUCAUUUCAUCCAUGACUUGGUCUCCUCUCAUUUCCAUCUCAGACCGCUCUUCUUCCAUAUUUCUCCUUUCCUUCAACAACAGUUCUUGUUCUUUGGCAAUGUCAGUCUUCAUCUCUUUCAUCUCUUCUUUUUCUUCACUCAUGAUUCCCUUUGCACGUUCAAGCUCUUCUUGCUUCUUCUUCAGAUUCCUCAUCAGACUCUCCACUUUUGCUCUUUCACUCUGUAAUUCCUUUUUCAUGAUUUUCACUUCUUUUGUUUGACUUCUGAGUUCAUCUUCCUUGACUUUUUCUUCAUUAUGUGUUAAGAAAAUCUUGCUUAAAAUGUCUUCAAGUCUUUCUUUUUCCGUUUGAACCUGAAGGAUACAAUUUUUAAUCUUGGCUUUUUCGUCAUUUGUCUCAUGUAACAGCCUGUUUACAUGUUCCAUCUUAUUGAGCAGUUCAAGCUUUAUGGUUUCCAUUGAGUCUCGUUCUUCUUUUAUAUUUUGUUUCUUUUCUUCCAAUAUUUCAAAUUGUUUCUUGAUGUCAGACAUCAACACCUUCAAAUCCAUUUUCUCUUUAUUCAGCACCUCACUUUCUCUCUCCAGAUCUUCUCUGUCGUGUCUCAGAUUUUCUUUCACUUCAUCAAGCUCUCGUUUGUCCAAUUCAAACUGCUGCUUCCAUUCAUUUUCUGUGCUUUCUCUCUUGGUGACCAUUUCUGAAAGGAUACUUCUCACACCUUCCUUUUCUCUCUCUAACAUUUCAGUGAAACAGCGAAUGCUUUCUUUCAGUUCGUCUUGGGUUGGAAGUUUUUCUUCCAACACUGUUUGCAGCCUUGACCUGUUGUCAACAUUUUGUAGUAAUCUCUCCAUUUUGGCUUUUAUAUCCUCCUUCAGUUGUUGAAGUUUCACUUUCAGAAUCUCUAGCAAUUUCAUUUCAUCCAUGACUUGGUCUCCUCUCAUUUCCAUCUCAGACCGCUCUUCUUCCAUAUUUCUCCUUUCCUUCAACAACAGUUCUCGUUCUUUGGCAAUGUCAGUCUUCAUCUCUUUCAUCUCUUCUUUUUCUUCACUCAUGAUUCCCUUUGCACGUUCAAGCUCUUCUUGCUUCUUCUUCAGAUUCCUCAUCAGACUCUCCACUUUUGCUCUUUCACUCUGUAAUUCCUUUUUCAUGAUUUCCACUUCUUUUGUUUGACUUCUGAGUUCAUCUUCCUUGACUUUUUCUUCAUUAUGUGUUAAGAAAAUCUUGCUUAAAAUGUCUUCAAGUCUUUCUUUUUCCGUUUGAACCUGAAGGAUACAAUUUUUAAUCUUGGCUUUUUCGUCAUUUGUCUCAUGUAACAGCCUGUUUACAUGUUCCAUCUUAUUGAGCAGUUCAAGCUUUAUGGUUUCCAUUGAGUCUCGUUCUUCUUUUAUAUUUUGUUUCUUUUCUUCCAAUAUUUCAAAUUGUUUCUUGAUGUCAGACAUCAACACCUUCAAAUCCAUUUUCUCUUUAUUCAACACCUCACUUUCUCUCUCCAGAUCUUCUCUGUCAUGUUUUAGAUCUUCUUUCACUUUAUCAAGUUCUCGUUUGUCCAGUUCAAACUGCUUCUUCCAUUCAUUUUCUGUGCAUUCUCUCUUGGUGACCAUGUCUGAAAGGAUACUUCUCACACCUUCCUUUUCUCUCUCUAACAUUUCAGUGAAACAGCGAAUGCUUUCUUUCAGUUCGUCUUGGGUUGGAAGUUUUUCUUCCAACACUGUUUGCAGCCUUGACCUGUUGUCAACAUUUUGUAGUAAUCUCUCCAUUUUGGCUUUUAUAUCCUCCUUCAGUUGUUGAAGUUUCACUUUCAGAAUCUCUAGCAAUUUCAUUUCAUCCAUGACUUGGUCUCCUCUCAUUUCCAUCUCAGACCGCUCUUCUUCCAUAUUUCUCCUUUCCUUCAACAACAGUUCUCGUUCUUUGGCAAUGUCAGUCUUCAUCUCUUUCAUCUCUUCUUUUUCUUCACUCAUGAUUCCCUUUGCACGCCCAAGCUCUUCUUGCUUCUUCUUCAGAUUCCUCAUCAGACUCUCCACUUUUGCUCUUUCACUCUGUAAUUCCUUUUUCAUGAUUUCCACUUCUUUUGUUUGACUUCUGAGGCCAUCUUCCUUGACUUUUUCUUCAUUAUGUGUUAAGAAAAUCUUGCUUAAAAUGUCUUCAAGUCUUUCUUUUUCCGUUUGAACCUGAAGGAUACAAUUUUUAAUCUUGGCUUUUUCGUCAUUUGUCUCAUGUAACAGCCUGUUUACAUGUUCCAUCUUAUUGAGCAGUUCAAGCUUUAUGGUUUCCAUUGAGUCUCGUUCUUCUUUUAUAUUUUGUUUCUUUUCUUCCAAUAUUUCAAAUUGUUUCAUGAUGUCAGACAUCAACACCUUCAAAUCCAUUUUCUCUUUAUUCAACACCUCACUUUCUCUCUCCAGAUCUUCUCUGUCAUGUCUCAGAUCUUCUUUCACUUUAUCAAGUUCUCGUUUGUCCAGUUCAAACUGCUUCUUCCAUUCAUUUUCUGUGCAUUCUCUCUUGGUGACCAUGUCUGAAAGGAUACUUCUCACACCUUCCUUUUCUCUCUCUAACAUUUCAGUGAAACAGCGAAUGCUUUCUUUCAGUUCGUCUUGGGUUGGAAGUUUUUCUUCCAACACUGUUUGCAGCCUUGACCUGUUGUCAACAUUUUGUAGUAAUCUCUCCAUUUUGGCUUUUAUAUCCUCCUUCAGUUGUUGAAGUUUCACUUUCAGAAUCUCUAGCAAUUUCAUUUCAUCCAUGACUUGGUCUCCUCUCAUUUCCAUCUCAGACCGCUCUUCUUCCAUAUUUCUCCUUUCCUUCAACAACAGUUCUCGUUCUUUGGCAAUGUCAGUCUUCAUCUCUUUCAUCUCUUCUUUUUCUUCACUCAUGAUUUCCUUUGCACGUUCAAGCUCUUCUUGCUUCUUCUUCAGAUUCCUCAUCAGACUCUCCACUUUUGCUCUUUCACUCUGUAAUUCCUUUUUCAUGAUUUCCACUUCUUUUGUUUGUAUUCUGAGGUCAUCUUCCUUGACUUUUUCUUCAUUAUGUGUUAAGAAAAUCUUGCUUAAAAUGUCUUCAAGUCUUUCUUUUUCCAUUUGAACCUGAAGGAUACAAUUUUUAAUCUUGGCUUUUUCGUCAUUUGUCUCAUGUAACAGCCUGUUUACAUGUUCCAUCUUAUCGAGCAGUUCAAGCUUUAUGGUUUCCAUUGAGUCUCGUUCUUCUUUUAUAUUUUGUUUCUUUUCUUCCAAUAUUUCAAAUUGUUUCUUGAUGUCAGACAUCAACACCUUCAAAUCCAUUUUCUCUUUAUUCAGCACCUCACUUUCUCUCUCCAGAUCUUCUCUGUCGUGUCUCAGAUCUUCUUUCACUUUAUCAAGCUCUCGUUUGUCCAGUUCAAACUGCUGCUUCCAUUCAUUUUCUGUGCAUUCUCUCUUGGUGACCAUUUCUGAAAGGAUACUUCUCACACCUUCCUUUUCUCUCUCUAACAUUUCAGUGAAACAGCGAAUGCUUUCUUUCAGUUCGUCUUGGGUUGGAAGUUUUUCUUCCAACACUGUUUGCAGCCUUGACCUGUUGUCAACAUUUUGUAGUAAUCUCUCCAUUUUGGCUUUUAUAUCCUCCUUCAGUUGUUGAAGUUUCACUUUCAGAAUCUCUAGCAAUUUCAUUUCAUCCAUGACUUGGUCUCCUCUCAUUUCCAUCUCAGACCGCUCUUCUUCCAUAUUUCUCCUUUCCUUCAACAACAGUUCUCGUUCUUUGGCAAUGUCAGUCUUCAUCUCUUUCAUCUCUUCUUUUUCUCCACUCAUGAUUCCUUUGCACGUUCAAGCUCUUCUUGCUUCUUCUUCAGAUUCCUCAUCAGACUCUCCACUUUUGCUCUUUCACUCUGUAAUUCCUUUUUCAUGAUUUCCACUUCUUUUGUUUGUCUUCUGAGGCCAUCUUCCUUGACUUUUUCUUCAUUAUGUGUUAAGAAAAUCUUGCUUAAAAUGUCUUCAAGUCUUUCUUUUUCCGUUUGAACCUGAAGGAUACAAUUUUUAAUCUUGGCUUUUUCGUCAUUUGUCUCAUGUAACAGCCUGUUUACAUGUUCCAUCUUAUUGAGCAGUUUAAGCUUUAUGGUUUCCAUUGAGUCUCGUUCUUCUUUUAUAUUUUGUUUCUUUUCUUCCAAUAUUUCAAAUUGUUUCAUGAUGUCAGACAUCAACACCUUCAAAUCCAUUUUCUCUUUAUUCAGCACCUCACUUUCUCUCUCCAGAUCUUCUCUGUCGUGUCUCAGAUCUUCUUUCACUUCAUCAAGCUCUCGUUUGUCCAGUUCAACCUGCUGCUUCCAUUCAUUUUCUGUGCUUUCUCUCUUGGUGACCAUUUCUGAAAGGAUACUUCUCACACCUUCCUUUUCUCUCUCUAACAUUUCAGUGAAACAGCGAAUGCUUUCUUUCAGUUCGUCUUGGGUUGGAAGUUUUUCUUCCAACACUGUUUGCAGCCUUGACCUGUUGUCAACAUUUUGUAGUAAUCUCUCCAUUUUGGCUUUUAUAUCCUCCUUCAGUUGUUGAAGUUUCACUUUCAGAAUCUCUAGCAAUUUCAUUUCAUCCAUGACUUGGUCUCCUCUCAUUUCCAUCUCAGACCGCUCUUCUUCCAUAUUUCUCCUUUCCUUCAACAACAGUUCUCGUUCUUUGGCAAUGUCAGUCUUCAUCUCUUUCAUCUCUUCUUUUUCUCCACUCAUGAUUUCCUUUGCACGUUCAAGCUCUUCUUGCUUCUUCUUCAGAUUCCUCAUCAGACUCUCCACUUUUGCUCUUUCACUCUGUAAUUCCUUUUUCAUGAUUUCCACUUCUUUUGUUUGUCUUCUGAGGCCAUAUUCCUUGACUUUUUCUUCAUUAUGUGUUAAGAAAAUCUUGCUUAAAAUGUCUUCAAGUCUUUCUUUUUCCAUUUGAACCUGAAGGAUACAAUUUUUAAUCUUGGCUUUUUCGUCAUUUGUCUCAUGUAACAGCCUGUUUACAUGUUCCAUCUUAUUGAGCAGUUCAAGCUUUAUGGUUUCCAUUGAGUCUCGUUCUUCUUUUAUAUUUUGUUUCUUUUCUUCCAAUAUUUCAAAUUGUUUCAUGAUGUCAGACAUCAACACCUUCAAAUCCAUUUUCUCUUUAUUCAGCACCUCACUUUCUCUCUCCAGAUCUUCUCUGUCGUGUCUCAGAUCUUCUUUCACUUUAUCAAGCUCUCGUUUGUCCAGUUCAAACUGCUGCUUCCAUUCAUUUUCUGUGCAUUCUCUCUUGGUGACCAUGUCUGAAAGGAUACUUCUCACACCUUCCUUUUCUCUCUCUAACAUUUCAGUGAAACAGCGAAUGCUUUCUUUCAGUUCGUCUUGGGUUGGAAGUUUUUCUUCCAACACUGUUUGCAGCCUUGACCUGUUGUCAACAUUUUGUAGUAAUCUCUCCAUUUUGGCUUUUAUAUCCCCCUUCAGUUGUUGAAGUUUCACUUUCAGAAUCUCUAGCGAUUUCAUUUCAUCCAUGACUUGGUCUCCUCUCAUUUCCAUCUCUUUCUCUUCAUCUUUGAUGUUUCUCCUUACCUUCAACAACAGUUCUUUUCUAUUCUCACGUCUAGUUUUCAUCUGGAUGACUUUUUCUUUUUCCUGGUUACAUUUUUUUAUCUCUUUUUUUAUCAAGUCUUGUUUUGUGUCUUGUAAGAUCACCCUUUUUAUACCAUCCUUAGUCGUUUCUCUUUUAUAUUCUUUCUUUACAGUCAGAUACUCAGUACUGUGUUUUUCUUUUUGUUUGCCCCAAAACAUUUUAUUGAAAUCUUUCAGUUUCAUUUUUUUUUCAGUUUCUUUUAUUUCAGUUGUUUUCCUUUCCUCUUUUAUGUUUUCAUUUUUUUGUUUUAAUAUGUCUAUUUCUUUUUUGAUUUUACAGCCUCUCAUGUCAAGUUUCUGGUUCUUUUUCAACAACUCUUUCACUCUUUCAAGAUCCUCUUUGUCUUGACUCUCGUCUGCACUUAAGUCAUCCAAGGCAUCUUUUUCUAUCUCAUAUAUUUUUUCCCUUUCAUUUUCAUGCUUUCCUUGCUCCGUCUUGAUUUUUGUCUCCACUUGUUCCCCAUGUUUUGGCUCUUGUUGUAUGUUUUUUAAUGCACACCGUAUAAUUUCCUUUUGCCUAUUUAAUUCACUUUUAAUAUUCAGUGUUUCUUUCCUUUUGGUCAUGUAGAAAUUUUUUUGGUCUUGCAUGUGUUUAUUUUCAUUCUGAAUUAUUCCAAUGAUGAAUUGAGUGUUUUUAAUUACCUUUUUAUAUUCCCCUAAGUAUUUCUUGAUUAGUUCCCAUUGUUUUUGAAUUUGUUUCCUUUUUUCUUUCAUCCUCAUGUCUUCAAUUUCACUUUGCAUCCCUUUCUUUUCUUUUUGCAACUUCUGCUUUAUUUCUUGUUCACCUUGAUGUUUGAUGAUCUCCUCUCGUCGUUGUUCAACCUCCUUUUUCUGCUUUGUUUCUCUCACGAGGGCAGUUCUUUCUUCUUUGAAAGUAGCCCAUAUUCUUUUUAUCUUCUGUUCUUUUUGAAUGCUUCUUUUGAUUACACGUUGGUUUUCUCUUUUCUUCAUCUCCAGCUCAACCACCAGAACUUCUAUCUCUUGUCUUUCCCUUUUAAUAUUUUCUAGUCUCAUAUCAAGCUUCUGUUUUUCUCUUUGGAUUUUUUCCCAGAUGUUGAUUGUUUCAUCCAUCUCUGCAGUGUCUUGUAUGGUAACUCUUCCAAAGAGUAUAUUAAGCUGAUAUUUUAACCUCUUCAUUUUGUUUGUUAUAUUCUUAUUUUCAGCCUCAACUUCUCUGAAUCCUUUUUUGUCCUUUUCUAAAUGAGCAUUCACAUUUUCUAGAAUUUUCAUCUCUGUCCUAAUUGUUCCCAUGUGUAAAUUAAACUUGUCUCUUAUGUCUUGGAUGUAAAUAGUAUACUGAGAAACUUUUAAGCUGUGGUUUUUGAUUUUCUCCAUUAACAUUUUCACAUCUUUCCUUCCAAAAUGUUUUUCAUGUUCAUUGGGUAGAUGGAUGAACAGAUUAUGGUCUCUCUGCUUCUCCUCAGCCAGCUCUUCCAUCUGUCGUUUCAAUUUUACCCUUAACACUUCUAGUUCAUCCCUUUUUCUCAUAGUCAUCUCCAGUCUUUGGUCUAAUUCUCUUCUUUUCUUUUUGAUCUCGGUCCUCAAUGCUUCCUUUUCUUGUUGUAUUUCAUACCACAUUAUUUCAAUUUCCUCCUUUUUUCUCAUACUUUUUCUAAAAAAACGCUCAAAUUCUUUUACCUUUAUUUUCAAUUCUGAUUGCAGCAGCUCCAUUUCUCUUAUUUGCCUUUUGGUCAUGUGUACUCCGUCAUCAAGCUCCUGUUCUUUUCUUUCAGUUUUCUCCCUCAAAUGGUUCACCUGUUCCUCCUGUAUUUCUGUUUCAGUUAGCUGUUUAACCAUUUUCUCAUUCUUUAUCGCUGUUUGGAUCUGUUCUGUCAUCUCAGUCUCUUCUCUCUUGAUUAUUUGUUUUACAUUCUCACUAACUGAUUUUUUAUUUUUUUGACCCAGACUGUCUAAUGAAAGUUUUACCUCCUCCAGUUUCUCAUUAACUUGUUUGAGGCUUUCUGUUCCCUCAGUUUCUUUGUCCAUUUUGUUUUUUGUCAGUUUAUCUCUUUUAUUGUCCAUUGUCUUCUUAAUUUCAGUCUUGAAAAUUUCAAGAGCAGUUCUUUGCUUAGGUGUACUACCAUGUUCCAUGUCUGGUUUUGCGCCUUUUGUCAAGUUAAGGUUAAUGCAGUCAAGGUCUUUAAACUGUCUUAGUUUUAUUUCAGUCUCCUUCAUACUAAUUUCUAUCUCUUCAAUUUUCCUUCUGGUCUUAGCAGCUAUUUUCUCGACUGUGCUCUUAACUUUUGCCAUUUUUUCUAAAUUCUGCCGAAUCAGUUCAGUUUGCCUCUGCAUUUUUAUUUUAAAGAUGUCUAAUCCAUCUCUCUCUUUCAAAGUAUUUUCUAAUCUUUGAUCUAAUUCUCUUCUCUUCUUUUUCACUGCAGUUUUCAUUGAUUUUAUAUUGCUCAUUUCUUCUGUCAUAUGUACUUCACUUUGCUUUAUUUUGGUUUUUACAAUUUCCAAAAACUCUUGAAACUGUUUGAUGUCUUUUAGCAAUCCUUCAAUUUCACUGCCUUCAUUCUGUUGAUAUUUGUCCAUGUUAUUUUUUUCCGCUAGGUUCUCAAGUCCUCCUCUUAGCGUUCUUAUAAUCUCUUGUGUUUUGUAAAUCUCUGCCCUGAGUCUUUGUAUAUCGGCUCCUCUGUCCUUUUUAUCUUCAUCGGUGUGUUCAACAUGUUUUUUCAUCUCUUCUCCUGAUUUCUGAAUUAGUUUUUGCUUGUUAACAUUAAGCCUUAUCAAGCUAGACUCUUGUUUUAUUUUUUUGGCAUCGUCCCCCUCUUGUACUUCAUAUUUUAUUAUUUCAUUUUUGAAAACUUUGGUGUUCAGCAUCAAAAUCUUUCUCUGUUCAGUUUCUUCCAACAGCUUAGUUAAUACUUCCUGGGCAUUUUCAGUUUCCCCGACUGUAAUUACAGUGUCUGCCCUCUGCAGGUCAUUUAUUUCCAAAAUGAGCCUUUUUAUAUCUUGAGUUUUUUCGUUCAUGUUAUCAAUAGUGUACUUUAUUUGUUCCUUUAUUUCCCCCUCUUGCUGCUUUAGGUUACGUAUCAGUUUUUCCACUUCUUCCCUUUCUCUUACAAUUAUCAGUAAUUCAGUUUUAUCAUGCACUACUUCUUCAUGAAUUUCAGUUCGCAUCUGUAAGCAAAAGUCCUGCUCCCCAUUUUUGCCUUCUGCAAAACAAUAUUUGGAUUCAAAAUGCUCCUUCUGUUGUUCUUUUAUUUUUUUAUUUUGAUGCUGAUCAUCUAAUGUUACAGAAUUUUGUAAUGAUGUUGUAUCUGUUAUACUUUUUUUCCCUUUUUUGUCCUUUGGAAUUGCUGAUGUUUGAUCCUCAAGGGAGUCUGUGUCUAUUUCAUACUGUGAUUCUUGAAGUUUGGAUGCGUUCACUGAAAAAGUAUGUUUGAUUGUAGAUUGUGCCAAUAUCCAUUUGUUGACCCAAGUUUUCAUGGAUGUCAGUUUUUCCUUCACAAAAACAGAAAAAAAGAGCUUUUUUUGUUUUUGAUGACACCAAGACAACAAUAAAGAUCUUCUUAAAACAUCUAUGUUUUAAUUUUUUGUUUCACAUUUAUGGAUCUUACUAGGGUUGGGCCAUAUGUAAAAAUUUUCCAACCGACAAUUGUCAGUCCAAUAAUCGACGAUGGGCGAUAUAUUCGCGCAUACGCAGACUUGUUGAUUGGCAGAGCAAUGUAGCCAUGCAUGGAGUGAUUUGCACAUUUACAACACAGAUGAAGUCCAAACAUGGACGAACUAAUUUCCCCAAAAAAUUAGGGCUGUCAACAUUUAUGCGGUCAUCACGAUUAACCCAUCUGGAGUGCAGAAUGAAUAAACUUUGGACAAACUGCUCGAAAUGCGUUGAGAGAGACAUUUAAGGGAUUUUGACUCAGUCUGCGAUCCAGAUGGGUUAAUUGUUAAACGCGUUAGUCGUGAUGGUGGCACUUUAACGUUGACAGCACUAAAGAAAUAUAAAGUUGCCAAGUUGGGAUUUCUUUGGCUUUAAACCAGAUGAAAAUAGUAAACCUAAGGAUGUAACCAAAACGGUCUGCCCCUUGUGCAGAUGUAUAAGUAUAAGUACUCAAACACGACUAACUUGCAUGAGCAUGUACGUGUCCACCAUCUGGCUGAGUAUGCUAGUGUAGUGAAGCAGAUUUUGGGGUAGGAUUUUACGUGAUGUCCUCGAUUGCAGCACUAACAUCCACCUUCCCAGCUGAUAAUUAGCAACCUUAUAAGAAACAGCUGCGCUUCACUACCACAUGGAGGUAUUUGGCAGUCUUUUCCCAUCCAAGGUGGCUGAGAGCAUUAGGCAGCUUAAGCACUGCAGAGCUCCUCAGGAAAGCUGCUCAUUUUAGUAUUGCCCUUUAGUAGUGAUGGCCAAAUGAAGCUUUCCGAAGCACUGAAGCUUGUAUUGAAAAACGGUUCAUUACUCGAAGCUUUUCAACACAGUCCUCUCUGGUGACAUCUGGUGGCCAAAAAUACAAAGAGCAGCUUGAAUCCACAAAAUAAAACCAACUGCUUCAUUAUGAUUGCCCACUCUACUGAGUGGAAUUCUGUCUGAUAUUGGGCCGCCGUUGUGUUGCUUUGAACGUGUAUUUUUUGGUGGUUAAAAAAAUGUGUUUUAUUUGUUUAAUAAAUAGUUUUGACCAGUAAACUCUCCUUGUUAUGCACCAUGGUGUGGUCUUCCUUUGCUUGUGACUUCUUGAUGUUGGUAAAUACAAUAAUUGAAAAAUACCACGUUACAUAUAAUAUGUACAACACAUUAUGGAGUAUGCUUCUGCUCUGAGGUCCUGCCUCCAUGCACUUAUGCAAUCAAUCGCUAGACAGGUGUAUUUAUAAAUAAUAUUAUAUUAGGGAAAUUUCCCCAGACAUAUAUUUGACCUGGGGGUAGAAUUGAUUGUGAAAUGGAAAAGGAAAAUGCUUAUGAACUUGCAAAUUAAAAACAUUAUGCAUUUAAGGUAACCCUUUUUCAUUUUUAUUUAAAAAGAAAAUUUGUUCUAGUGUGCGAUGGCCGAACCUGUUCCUUUUCGUGGAGAUAAUUUCUCCUGCCUUAAGGAAAAUCCCUUCACAUGGCCCAGAGGAGGCUGGAGUGCAGAGAAACUGGUAGAGAUGCAGUUAUACAGUCUACCUGGGCCCCACAAACGAUCAGAUAAAGAGAAUAAAUAAAUUCAAUUGCUGCACAUUUGGCAGACUAACAUUUUCAGAUUAAUUAAACAAUAAAAUAUAUAUUUUUACAACAUUACAUGUAAAGAGUCAAGUGGAAGUUUUUCUAAAGUUAUUUAAUGAUAUUUAUAUUAUGGAAGCAGAUUUUUGACAUUUUACCUUUUUCCCGUUUUCAGAUAUAAUAAACACGCACAAAACAAAAGCAAACGGCCAGAACACAAAGCUGGAAAACCCACCGGAUUGACAAAAAAUCAACUCAAAAUUCUCCCACACAACAGAACCUCCUCAAUUCCUCGCUGGCUCCAAAUCUCUCAGUGGAAUGAUCAGUGGUUCGCUGUCACCAUCAAAACACUCCACAAAUCCCGUGAAUGAUUCGCUUCCUUAUAAACCAUUGAAUCAGAUACCGAAGCAGUUAGGCUCUAAAUGAAGCUUCGGACGUCACCGAUCACGUGACUCUGGCCAAACGAAUCAAGCUUCGACACAGUGCUUCUGAAGCAGUGUGUUGAUUUUUUUGACACACGCACCAGAGCUUCAGCUUCAAGCGGGUCAUCACUACCCUUUAGAGAAUGGUAAGAGGGACUCUUGCAUUUGUCAUAAUGUGGCAUAUAGUAGGGUGGACCUUGACGACUGUUUCCCUCUUUUGUUACAGGAUUGUGCCAUACUGCUGCUGUUUUGUGCUAUCUUGUUUUGUGUCGUUCUUUCUUGUUCAGUUUUGUUCUGUCUUGUUGUGGCCUUACAAAUGUUUAUGGACUGGCCUCGACUGACUCUUUAUGAUCUUUUACUUGGAAUUGUUUUAUAUAUUGUAAUCUUGCUUUUAUAAAGAACUGUAACUUAGGGAUGGUUUGUUUUAUUUAUCUCUUUUACUAAUUUGUUUAAUGUUUUACGCUUAGUUUUAUUGCUUUAGUGGAGGUGCGGCCGCUUGUUGAGGGGCUAGGCACAUGAGGUGGAAUCCCCUCCUCGAUGCAUGAGAGUGUACACACCAGGCAUAGGUAGACCGCACCAUUUAGAUUUCAGUGUGAGUGACGGUGAGGUUUGCUGUGGAACUACAUUGGUGAGUAAUUGGUGGUACCCUUGGGCACUCCUCUCUGUAGGUUGCCUCAAGUGGCCGGUCUCAACUAUUUUGUUUAGUUACUUUAUCGAGUUAUUUUACUAGGGUGGCAGCGAGCCUUGUGGUUUUAAUCAUUGUUUGUUAAUUGUUUUAAUUAACAGUCUUGCAGUCUUGGCCCUGCUACCCUAAGAACUCUGAUUUCAGUUCUAUGCUUUUUAGUAGUUUUUCUUAAUAAAUUUUGAUUUGUAAAACUGAUCUGCCUCACCUCUGCUGUUAAUAACUAGCCUGUGGGCUUAGGUAGAUAGUGUAACAUCUACACUGGCUAUAAAAAAAUCUUUCCUGGGGUGUAACUCUCCUCUCAGGUGGCGUUGUCACCUUCCCUGGUUAUCCCUCAUUUGCGCCACCACACAAGGCUAUCACCAGCUUCUGCAGCUCCAUCAACAAGCAUUUGGGCACACUCUCAGGAGGGUGCAUUUGCUCACAGAUGACAGAGGGUGCUUUUAAACCAGUACUCUUAAUAUUUUUUUUUUGACUGAUUCUAUUUGCUCCAUCAUUAUUAGCAAACUUACUCAUGGGCAAAUAAAUAAAUCGCCAGUGGGCUCAGCCUAUAGUUGAUAUAUUCGUCCAAUCACCCAACCCUAGAUCUUACACAGACUGCUAUGCUCCUGAGCCUGGCAGUUGCAAUAAAUGUAGAAAUCUUCUAUCUCACUUAGGCUACAUCCACAGGUACCCGGGUAUUUUUGAAAACACAGAUUUUUCUAUGCAUUUGCACCUUUCGUCCACAUGCAAACGGUGUUUUCGGUCACUGAAAACAGAGAUUUUUAAAAACUCCAGCCAGGGUGGAUAUUUUUGAAACCUCAGUUUUUGCGUUUACGUGGACGAGAAAAAAGGAGAAAACGCAGCAUCAAAGGUGUGCGCAUUUUUUGACGUCAUACUGUGCGCCACGUUAUUGUUUCGAUGAAAUGAGUUUCUACAAUGGUGGACUUACACAAAAUACCAUUACUGUUAAUUUUACUCUGCAGUGUUUAAAUGCUUACACAUUUGCUGUCCCUCCACACAUAGGACUCAGUUCUGCUUCUAUUCGCCAUCUUUGUUUACUCUUUCCCACCCAGGCUGACUUCUGAUUGGCCAACAUUUCUACACGGAUAGGAAUAUAGCGCCACCUGCUGCUUUGGCAUGUUCCUAGCAGCGUUUUCCUUUGUUUUUGGCUUUUACGUGUGGAUGGGAUUUUUUUUUUAAAAAUGGAAAAUCUCAGUUUUCAAAAAUACCCAUGUAAGUGUGGACGUAGCCUUACAUGGAUAAGGAUCAAGAUGACAUGGAAUGAGUUUACUACUAUGAGCAGAAGUUAUUCAUGCUUAACUGUAAAUGUUUACUGUUCUUUUUUUUCAUUAAAUUAAAUAUAACAUUAUCAGCAUCUUAUCAGCACAGUGUGAUGCCAUUCUGGUAGCAGACUUAGCUUUGAUUACACACAGGCACACUGAUGUCUGCAUGGACAUUUGUGCCCACCGUCUGAUGACAUAAUUUACUUUACUAUAGCAGACUUAAGUGCACUCAAUCAUUCUUCACCUUUCUUUCUCUAUUGCCUGCCACUGGUGUAUGUCUAUCUUUUCCAUGUUUAAAGGGCACCCCCCACCCCAAAACAAAAAAACACAUCUGGUGGUAGGCGGUAUUUUCGCCACUGACUCCAAAAUCCACCGUUCCCAAUGCAUAACUGAUUAUUUUUACACAUUCUUUUGCAUUUCAGUUUGUUAGGUUUAUACAGUAAAAUUACUUAUGUAAUUAACAUUCCAUGCUUGAACCAAGUGGGAAACAUUGGAGAAAAAGUCAGAAAUGUUAACUUUGCAUAGCCUGGGGAUAGUUCUUAUCAUCUUUAGGAUGGCUAGAAUAAUUUCCACAACUUAUUGACAACAGCAACUACAGUAUGUGGAUAUCAGUAACCAUACCCUUUCAAUUGUCAGAAUAUUAAAAAAUUAUGUAUACGCAAAUUACAAUUUCAAGCUCAGUUAAACCCAAACUGUUAUAUCAGGCAUCUUACUACUUUUUUACAGUUUUAUUGGAGUACUUAAUGGAGUAUUUCUUCCAACAAUUCCAGUCGGUAAAUAAAGGAAUCGUUAUCAAAUACUGAAUGUCUAUCAACUAAAAGCAGGUUCAAUAAAAAUCAGGGGAUCCUGACAAGAAAUACCUAAAAGGAAAGAAUAAAUACUUACCAUAUAGUUCUUGGCUUCUUCCUGGUUCUUACUAAUCUCCCUUUGGGUUCUCUGCAUUUUCUCCCAAGUGUUGUUCAUUUCUGCACCAGUUUUUUCUAUUUUACCUUUUAUCUCAGUGACAGUAUUUUCCAGUUUUUGUUCAACCCUUUCCUUUUGUCGCUGUAUUUUUGUCUUCAUGAUUUCUAACUCAUCCCUCUCUUUCCUUAUCUUCUCCAGCAAACGCUCAAGCUCCCUUCUUUUUUGCUUUUCUCGAAAAUUUGUCCAUUUCGUUUGAGCCUUUACUUCUGUAAAGUCCCUCAUGCUCUGCUUUGUUUCUUCACCCUUGUUACAAAGCACUUCAUUGUUUUCUUCUUCCUCAGAGAUCAAAUUCUGCAUGUAAGUAUUUGGUUUGUCUUUUUCUACAUUUUCCCUUCCUGUCUUUAGUUUCAUUUCAACUCUCUUUAAAUCAUCUCUUUCAGGCUGGAUGUGUGUCACUUUAAAGCUUAGAUCUGAAUCUUGUUGCUUUUGAUAAUCAAUAUUCAUCUUGAUGUUCAUGUGAUUGUUCUCUGCCAUUAGCUGCUGCUUUGCACUUUGAGUCACUUCCAGUUGUUGUUCACUGUCUUCCAGCACAUCCCAAAGUUUCUCCAUCUCUUCCUGGAUUCUACACAGUUUUCUCUUCACUGUGUCAAAUGUGGCUUUUCCAUCGUUUCUUUCUCUCUGUCCUUCUUUAUACAUGUGAAUUUUCUUCAUUUCAGCCUGUUUUAUAAUGCUUGCCCAUCUGUGCUUGACCAUGUUGAUCUUUACAUACAUAAUAUGUUUAAUGUGGUUAAUUUGUUCACUGUUUUUUGAAAUGUCCUUUUUAUUUCUUUUUAAUGCUUGCUGUAUGUUUGCUUUAGUUUUCUCCAUUUUUUCUUUAACUUUCUUUACUUCAAGCAUUAUUUCCCUGUUUUUCUCAGUUGCAUUCUCCAGUAUAUCCAGUUCCCGCUUUACCUGCUCAUUAAGGGGCUCUUUGGGUUCCUCCCUUAUUGGUGAUUCUGUCUUACUAGCUUUUAUAGUGUCUAGCUUGUGUCGCUCGUUGAUGAAGUAUUGACGUCUUCUGUCCAGAGUAUCCUUUUCUUGAUAUAUUUUAGUCCACGUUUUCAGAAAGUUUGUUUUUUCCUUAGCAACUGAAUUUUUGCUUUGUUUGAGUUUCUCAGUUAUAUUUUUUAUUUGGAAGUUAAAUUGCUUUAAUAGUAGGUGAUGUUUAUUUUUUUCAGAUGUCAGUCUCUCAAUGUCUUCCUGUUGCCCCUCUGUCUUUGUCUUUAAGAAGUCAAUUUCAUUUGUCUUUCUUUCUGUCUGUCUCCAGAGUUGUUCGAUCUCCUCCAUUGCUUGACAUAUCAGUUGCCUUUGUCUUUUUAAAGUUUCUUUUUGGGUUUUCAUGUCAGUUCUUGUUUGUUUGCUAUCUGAUUGCUUUCUGUUUUCCAUUGUUGAGUUCCAUUCUGUUGUCAUCCUGCUGUCUUUGUUCUGUUGGUAAAAAUAAAUGAAUAAACAAAGUGGCCAAACCAUAACUAACAAAUGACAAGACAUUCUAAACUCAUACUGUGUUGGAAGAUAACAAGUAAAAGAGGGAUAACCAGAAAUUGACAGAUGGAUUGGGGCCACAACUGCAGUCAUGUGGAUUCUGUACCAGUCCAUCAUGGUGAACAGAGAGCUAAAUAUAAAAGCGAAGAUCUCAAUUUACUGUUUGCUCUACAUCCCUACCCUCACCUAUGGUCAUAAGCUUUGGGUAGUGAUUGAAAGAACAAGAUCACAGAUACAAGCAUGACAUUAGCUUUUUCUGAAGGGUGGCUGCUAAUCCUGCACAUUGAAAGAAGCCAGUUCGGGUGGUUUGUGUGUCCCACAGGGCGGAGGCCCUGGAGGCCUGGGGUUCUCUGCUUAGACUGCUGCCCCCACGACCCAGCCACAGAGAAGAUGGAUAAAUGACAUAAUUGUUUAUAUCACAUUUACAGUAUUUUUUUGGCAACAAUGUAAUAAUGUAGUUGGGUUAUCUGAGGUCUGUUCUAUAGCAAAUGUAGAAAAAAUGUUUUAAGAAGAGCCAAUAUAACUCAGUGUUCUAAAGAAUGUGACUGUUUCCUUGCAAGACCAUAGCGCGGCUACGUCUGCAGCCUGUCCACAGCUUGGACACAAACAUUUCACUGCAUGUGUUACUCUGUAUGAUUGUUGUUUAAUGCUUUUUAAAAUCAUAUUCAAGUAGAUUUUGAAAUGAAGAUAGCUUGUAUUUUUGUUUUUUGCAUUAGAGGUGUUUAAGAAAAGUUGAGUUUUGUAAUUGCAUUUUUACCUUGUUUAUACUUGUACUUUUUUUUUUUUUUAAUAAAUAUCUUGUAUGUAAGGUGACCUUGAGGGUCUUUAAAGGUGCUUAUAAAUAAAAUGUAUUGUUGUUGUUGUUAUUGUUAUUGUUAUUGUUGUUAUUAUUGUUAUUAUUGUUAUUAUUGUUAUUAUUGUUAUUGUUGUUAUUGUUAUUGUUGUUAUUGUUGUUAUUAUUGUUGUUGUUGUUGUUAUAUUUUUUCUCAAUAAUAAUAAUAAUAACACAAAUGCAUAAGCUGCAAACAUGUUAUAUAGUUGUUUGGAAUAGAAUUACAAUGAGAUUAUCUUGGUUUAACAAGAGGUAACUGGAUAUGUUCAGACUUUAAAUGUAAACAUAGCCAAUUUGCAUUGAAUUACCC